Molecule: ribosomal RNA, 167 nt
Filed under: uncultured bacterium
Lineage: Bacteria
Description: partial 16S rRNA
Rfam family: Bacterial small subunit ribosomal RNA
Source: RNAcentral
UAGGGAAUCUUCCACAAUGGACGAAAGUCUGAUGGAGCAACGCCGCGUGAGUGAAGAAGGUUUUCGGAUCGUAAAGCUCUGUUGUUGGUGAAGAAGGAUAGAGGCAGUAACUGGUCUUUAUUUGACGGUAAUCAACUAGAAAGUCACGGCUAACUACGUGCCAGCAG